RNAcentral lists this ribosomal RNA (440 nucleotides) under uncultured bacterium. RNAcentral describes it as "bacterial SSU rRNA". It matches the Rfam family "Bacterial small subunit ribosomal RNA", at positions 338 to 795 of the family's 1533-position model. The record is from RNAcentral.
CCUACGGGUGGCAGCAGUGGGGAAUAUUGCACAAUGGGGGAAACCCUGAUGCAGCAACGCCGCGUGAGCGAUGAAGGCCUUCGGGUCGUAAAGCUCUGUCCUAAGGGAAGAAUACUGACGGUACCUUAGGAGGAAGCCCCGGCUAACUACGUGCCAACAGCCGAGGUAAUACGUAGGGGGAUGGCGUUAACCGGAAUUACUGGGCGUAAUGGGUGCGUAGGCGGACCUUCAAGAACGAGGUGAAAGGCGAAGGCUGAACCGUAGGAAGCAUUGGAAAAUGGAGGGCGUGAUUCCAGGAGAGGGGAGUGGAAUUCACAGUGUAGCGGUGAAAUGCGUAGAGAUGUGGAGGAACACCAGUUGUGAAGGCGGCUCUCUGGACUGUAUCUGUCGCUGAGGCACGAAAGCGUGGGGAGCGAACAGGAGUAGAUACCCCAGUAGGC